CGGUUGGUUGAUCGUAAAUUUCGGUAGUAAAUUUGUCUCCUACUACAAAUUAGGUGAAGUGAGGAAUAUUUGAGAGAGCGAGCGUAUCAAAAAAUUGGGAUCAUAUUUAUUUAUUGGGCUAUGUUAGCAGCGUGCAACUAUAAUAUAUUUACCAGGUGGCGGCAUAGUACCACACAAUAGAACUAACACGGUACCUGGAGUCACUGAUAAAGGCAAAGAAAAAUGAUUCCCAUUCCGUUUUAUAGAAAAAUUGUUGACUGGGAACAGUGACGAAACUAGAGGAGGUAGAGGGAGGAAUUAUCGCUGAAUUAGUCAAUUGAAUUAUUUUAAAUUUUCAAUCGAAAAUUGAACGAAUAGACAAAAACAAGUUUUUGUAAAAAAUUAAAUAGUUGUUUUUUAG
This is a non-coding RNA of Cinara cedri, 400 nucleotides long. NCBI's taxonomy places the organism in Eukaryota, Metazoa, Arthropoda, Insecta, Hemiptera, Aphididae. The record is from the annotation of a GenBank genome assembly.